AAGGGCCUUUCGGGGCACUGGCGCACGGGUGAGUAACGCGUAGGUAAUCUGCCUUUAUCCGAGACAUAAUAUCGGGAAACUGGUACUAAUAUCUCAUGAGGCCGAGAGGUCAAAGUUUAAUACGGAUAGAGAUGAGCCUGCGUCUGAUUAGCUAGUUGGUAAGGUAAUGGCUUACCAAGGCAACGAUCAGUAGCUGGUCUGAGAGGACGAUCAGCCACACUGGAACUGAGACACGGUCCAGACUCCUACGGGAGGCAGCAGUGAGGAAUUUUGCGCAAUGGGGGAAACCCUGACGCAGCGACGCCGCGUGCGGGAUGAAGGAGCUUUGCUUCGUAAACCGCUGUCGGAUAGGAAGAAAAACGGUAAGAACCGUCGGGACAGUACUAUCAAAGGAAGCACCGGCUAACUACGUGCCAGCAGCCGCGGUAAUACGUAGGGUGCGAGCGUUGUCCGGAAUUACUGGGUGUAAAGGGUGCGCGGGCGGAUUCGCACGUCGAAGGUUAAAGACCUUGGCUUAACCAAGGAGAUGCCCUCGAUACGGUGAGUCUUGAAUAUGAGAGAGGAUGGUAGAAUUCCUGGUGUAGCGGUGAAAUGCGUAGAUAUCAGGAGGAAUACCGGUGGCGAAGGCGGCCAUCUGGCUCAUUAUUGACGCUUAGGCACGAAAGCGUGGGGAGCGAACAGGAUUAGAUACCCUGGUAGUCCACGCCCUAAACGAUGUAUGCUUGGUGUUGGGCCUUACGGGGUUCAGUGCCGAAGAAAACUCGAUAAGCAUACCACCUGGGGAGUACGAUCGCAAGGUUG
This 801-nucleotide ribosomal RNA is filed under the name uncultured bacterium. Its description in RNAcentral is "bacterial SSU rRNA". It matches the Rfam family "Bacterial small subunit ribosomal RNA", at positions 65 to 896 of the family's 1533-position model. The record is from RNAcentral.